UACGAAGGUCCCAAGCGUUGUUCGGAAUCACUGGGCGUAAAGGGCGCGUAGGCGGCGUGGUAAGUCAGAUGUGAAAUCCCGGGGCUCAACCCCGGAACUGCAUCCGAUACUGCCAUGCUUGAGGGUUGGAGAGGUAGCUGGAAUUCUCGGUGUAGCAGUGAAAUGCGUGGAUAUCGAGAGGAACACUCGUGGCGAAGGCGAGCUACUGGACAACAUCUGACGCUGAGGCUCGAAGGCUAGGGGAGCAAAAGGG
This 253-nucleotide ribosomal RNA is filed under the name uncultured bacterium. RNAcentral's name for it is "partial 16S ribosomal RNA". It matches the Rfam family "Bacterial small subunit ribosomal RNA", at positions 524 to 776 of the family's 1533-position model. The record is from RNAcentral.